Molecule: long non-coding RNA, 1412 nt
Organism: Lathyrus oleraceus (garden pea)
Lineage: Eukaryota; Viridiplantae; Streptophyta; Magnoliopsida; Fabales; Fabaceae
Exons: 2
Source: RefSeq, a predicted model, not a curated record
UAUUUUCUCUGGAAGAAGUUCUUCAGAUUUCCCAUAGACAUUUGUUGGGAGCUUUGCUCUUUGACCUUAUUACUUUGGUCUUCAGCUAUAGCUAUUUGAAUUAAAUUUCCUAUUUUCUGGACUUCUUGGGAACUCAUUUUAUUCCAUCAUUUAUAGAAGAAAUUUCUUUGUAAAAUGGGUAUGUUGAAUUUAUCUUGAGAUAUGGUGAUUGACCAUCUCCAUAUCCAUGGAAUCUGAAAUUUGGUAAAGAACCAAAAUGGAUAUUGUCCGGUGAUUAAAUUAUCAGAUAAAUAUUUGCAAUAAGUGGACUAUUGUCACACCAAGGAUUGUAUAAAUCAAGUAAUUCUUUGGGUAGUAUUUCCAAAGACGGGCCAAAUUUAGUCCACCAUUCAUAAAACCAAUUUGCUAUAAGUGUAUUAAUCAUCUCUGGAUUAAUAGAGAAAAACCAAGAAUGCUUAUUCUUGGGAUUUUGAUAAUAAAAAGCUUGAGUAAAAGCUUGGACAUAGUCCCAGUUAUUAAAGUAAAUAUACUUUCCUGCUGUAAUACUUAUUUCCUUUUCACCAUUUGGAUUAAGACCCCAUUCUCUUGGUAACAAGAUUUUAUUAAUAUGACAUUUACUGAAGUUUAUAAAACUUUCAGGAUUAUUAUUCUGGUAAUGGUGAGUAAACGUUACCGAUUCGGUAACAGUUAGAAGAAUUUCUAGGUGAGGCCUAGAUUUUCCAUGUAGGCCUGGAUAUCCUCUUGAUUCGAGGUAUCUAGUUUUGAUAGACCAUCCAUCAUUUUGAUUGAUUUUGAUAUCUUCUUCAUCAAUAUACAUGAUUUUUUCAGUUACUGGAUUUUCAAAAUAAUCCAAUUGCUCUUGAGGUGGGUUAUUAACCGCAACUUCUUUGUAAGAUGUACUUUUAUUAGAGGAGGAGGAAGGAAUAUCUUCCAUUUUAGAUAAAGAUGCAGGUAUAAUUUGUUUAAGGAUUCCUCCAUAGCUUAAGUCAGAAGCAUCCGUUUCAACAAUUUUGAAAUAUUUAGGGUUAGCAAGGGAUAAACAAGGCAAACAUUUAACUUUAUUUUUAAUUCUUUGGACUACUUGAGAAUGUUUAUCAGUCCAAGGGCCAGGAUUAUUUUUAAGCCUAGCAUGUAAUAUGGCAGUAUCUUUUGCAAGAUUUUCAUAAUAAUCUGCUAUAUAAUUGAGACUACCAAGAAACCUUUGUAAUUGUUUUUUAUCUGUAAUAAUAUUGGGGAAUUUAGAAGCGAAUUCAAUACUUCUUUGUAUAGGAAUUACAGUUCCUUGGUCAAUUUCAUGUCCAAAAAAUCUAACUUUUGUUUGAAAAAGUUUCAUCUUAUGAGCAGAUAUAACUAAUCCAUUAUGUUUAAUUAAUCCUUUGAAUAUUUUUAAAUGUUUAACAUGUUGAUCUAUA